GGGAAUGAGGCUCAGUGGUAGAGUGCUUGCCUUGCAUGCAUGAGGCCCUGGGUUUGAUUCCUCAGCAUAAGCA
Molecule: transfer RNA, 73 nt
Filed under: Dipodomys ordii (Ord's kangaroo rat)
Lineage: Eukaryota; Metazoa; Chordata; Mammalia; Rodentia; Heteromyidae
Rfam family: tRNA
About the family: Transfer RNA (tRNA) molecules are approximately 80 nucleotides in length.
Source: Rfam by way of RNAcentral